UACGUAGGGGGCGAGCGUUGUCCGGAUUUACUGGGCGUAAAACGCUUGUAGGCGGUCACGCCAAGUCGGAUGUGAAAUCUCCCGGCUUAACUGGGAGGGGUCAUUCGAUACUGGCGGGCUCGAGGCAGGUAGGGGGAAGCGGAAUUCCCGGUGUAGUGGUGGAAUGCGUAGAUAUCGGGAGGAACACCAGUGGCGAAGGCGGCUUCCUGGACCUGUUCUGACGCUGAGGAGCGAAAGCGUGGGGAGCGAUCCGG
Molecule: unclassified non-coding RNA, 254 nt
Filed under: uncultured Chloroflexota bacterium
Lineage: Bacteria; Bacillati; Chloroflexota
Description: uncultured Chloroflexi bacterium contains 16S-23S intergenic spacer region
Rfam family: Bacterial small subunit ribosomal RNA
Source: RNAcentral